RNAcentral lists this long non-coding RNA (1594 nucleotides) under Haliotis rubra (blacklip abalone). Its description in RNAcentral is "uncharacterized LOC124257992". The record is from RNAcentral. Lineage: Eukaryota; Metazoa; Mollusca; Gastropoda; Lepetellida; Haliotidae.
ACAUUUGUCUUGCAGUUGUUUCGGCAUACUUAAAGGCACUAUAUCACACCACACUUCUCUAAAAAUAAAUAAUGCAUUUCCCUCAACAAUACUAACUAUCAGCCCACAGGGAAGCUAACAUACAAUUUGUUCAAAAAAUAAUUUAGAUUACAAGAUUAAAUUAAAAAGUAUGAAUGAAUUAAUGCAACAUUGCAUUAAAUCGAAGCACACGACUUCUACCGGUCGAACAUUAUUUCAAGCGAACUUCAUAGAGUUAUGUAGACAUACGACAGAAAUCUUAUAUCUGGUCAAAAUUUUGGUUUAAAGUAUAUGCCAAAAGGUAUAUAUUAAUGUCUUAUAAAUGCCUAAUGUUAGAACUACUACGUGUAGUAGGUAGGUAGUUCCGGGGAGGUAAGGGGUAGAAAUAUUGACGUGAGGCGCUCGUGUGCUGUAUUUCUAUAGUCCGUAUUAAAAUCCAUUACACUGUUUCUCACUGUUUCAACUGAUCGUGUAAGGUAUUUAUAAUCCACAGCAAGUGAGGCAUUUCUGUAGUCUUUAUCCAAGUCCAUUACACUGUCUCAAGGUUUCUGAAGCUGUGAUGCUAGAGGUAGAAACUAUACUGGGAAUACAACACAUGGAAACAGGUCACGUACACAGUUUACAUACAAACUGCAGAAGACAGAAUUGGGCACUGCCAGAAAGCAGUUGGAAGGGGAUUGUUGGUAGAUUUAGAUGGCGCUUCUUUCAGCAAACUCAGUUUACCUUUAAGGUUUUCUUUAAAUGAUAUGUAUCUAACCACCAAACGGUGAUACUUUUAACAUGCCCAAUGGAACAAAAAAUGGUCAGCAAACUGUCGGGAUACGUAUUGCCAAUUUUCAUUGUGCUCUGUAGAGAACCGAUGAAGACUAAGAACUGUAAUGAGCAAAAUAGAAUAUUACUUGUCUCUCCUUUGUGUUUGAAGUUAUUUUACUGUAAAUGGUACGUAUAGUCGAUACUGCUGGCUUACAUUCACAGGCAAAUCGAAAUCGAACGGCAAGUUUCAGAGUUAUAGGUGUUAGUGUCCAUGGCCCCGUUCCACAAAAUGAUCGUAGAGCUAAGAUGAUCGUAACUCCCAUACUUUAACAUAGACUUACGACCUUUCGAAAGUAGGUUUUUGUUCAGGACCUCCCUGGUAAGUUUGCUUUUGAAAAAUCGUCAAGAAGACUUGGGAAGUUUUUGAAGAGAACUUUGGCUCAUACGUAGCACUCAGCAUGGCGGGCAUCGAAGGCACGUUUAGGCACUGUGUGUGCAGAGUAGUUCCUGGACACAAAGUAUGGAAAUUGGGAAAGCUCUGGAGCUGAUAGUUCGAACUCAGCACAUUUUUGGUGCAAAGAACUCAGAAAACUGUUGAAAAAUAGGAAUAAAUAUUUCAACCCCAAACAGCUGCCAAACGAUGCCUUUUUUAGCCAAAUGGGUCCUCCACUUGAAAUUGAAGGAAAUCUUAAUCCGCCAUUGCUCCAGAAAUUGUGAAUCAUUGGACAUGAUUUUUCGGAAAUUAUUGCUUUUAAAAUUUAAAUGUUUGAAUUACUUUUGAAUAAUCUGCCCUUUGUUAUUGAAUAAAGAAGUUAUCAUCCAU